This 1383-nucleotide ribosomal RNA is filed under the name Chryseobacterium sp. RA21. Its description in RNAcentral is "bacterial SSU rRNA". It matches the Rfam family "Bacterial small subunit ribosomal RNA". Lineage: Bacteria; Pseudomonadati; Bacteroidota; Flavobacteriia; Flavobacteriales; Weeksellaceae. The record is from RNAcentral.
CCAAGCCGAGCGGUAGAGAUCUUUCGGGAUCUUGAGAGCGGCGUACGGGUGCGGAACACGUGUGCAACCUGCCUUUAUCUGGGGGAUAGCCUUUCGAAAGGAAGAUUAAUACCCCAUAAUAUAUUGAAUGGCAUCAUUUGAUAUUGAAAACUCCGGUGGAUAGAGAUGGGCACGCGCAAGAUUAGAUAGUUGGUGAGGUAACGGCUCACCAAGUCAGCGAUCUUUAGGGGGCCUGAGAGGGUGAUCCCCCACACUGGUACUGAGACACGGACCAGACUCCUACGGGAGGCAGCAGUGAGGAAUAUUGGACAAUGGGUGAGAGCCUGAUCCAGCCAUCCCGCGUGAAGGACGACGGCCCUAUGGGUUGUAAACUUCUUUUGUAUAGGGAUAAACCUACCCUCGUGAGGGUAGCUGAAGGUACUAUACGAAUAAGCACCGGCUAACUCCGUGCCAGCAGCCGCGGUAAUACGGAGGGUGCAAGCGUUAUCCGGAUUUAUUGGGUUUAAAGGGUCCGUAGGCUGAUUUGUAAGUCAGUGGUGAAAUCUCACAGCUUAACUGUGAAACUGCCAUUGAUACUGCAAGUCUUGAGUGUUGUUGAAGUAGCUGGAAUAAGUAGUGUAGCGGUGAAAUGCAUAGAUAUUACUUAGAACACCAAUUGCGAAGGCAGGUUACUAAGCAACAACUGACGCUGAUGGACGAAAGCGUGGGGAGCGAACAGGAUUAGAUACCCUGGUAGUCCACGCCGUAAACGAUGCUAACUCGUUUUUGGGCUUUUGGGUUCAGAGACUAAGCGAAAGUGAUAAGUUAGCCACCUGGGGAGUACGAACGCAAGUUUGAAACUCAAAGGAAUUGACGGGGGCCCGCACAAGCGGUGGAUUAUGUGGUUUAAUUCGAUGAUACGCGAGGAACCUUACCAAGGCUUAAAUGGGAAAUGACAGGCUUAGAAAUAGGCUUUUCUUCGGACAUUUUUCAAGGUGCUGCAUGGUUGUCGUCAGCUCGUGCCGUGAGGUGUUAGGUUAAGUCCUGCAACGAGCGCAACCCCUGUCACUAGUUGCCAUCAUUAAGUUGGGGACUCUAGUGAGACUGCCUACGCAAGUAGAGAGGAAGGUGGGGAUGACGUCAAAUCAUCACGGCCCUUACGCCUUGGGCCACACACGUAAUACAAUGGCCGGUACAGAGGGCAGCUACACUGCGAAGUGAUGCAAAUCUCGAAAGCCGGUCUCAGUUCGGAUUGGAGUCUGCAACUCGACUCUAUGAAGCUGGAAUCGCUAGUAAUCGCGCAUCAGCCAUGGCGCGGUGAAUACGUUCCCGGGCCUUGUACACACCGCCCGUCAAGCCAUGGAAGUCUGGGGUACCUGAAGUCGGUGACCGUAACCAGGAGCU